UACGGAGGAUGCGAGCGUUAUCCGGAUUUAUUGGGUUUAAAGGGUGCGCAGGCGGAAUGUCAAGUCAGCGGUAAAAUUUCGGGGCUCAACCCCGUCGUGCCGUUGAAACUGGCGUUCUUGAGUGAGCGAGAAGUAUGCGGAAUGCGUGGUGUAGCGGUGAAAUGCGUAGAGAUCGGGAGGAACACCAGUGGCGAAGGCGGCCUGCUGGACGAUGACUGACGUUGAGGCUCGAAAGCGUGGGGAGCAAACAGG
RNAcentral lists this ribosomal RNA (252 nucleotides) under uncultured Bacteroidales bacterium. RNAcentral's name for it is "partial 16S ribosomal RNA". It matches the Rfam family "Bacterial small subunit ribosomal RNA", at positions 524 to 776 of the family's 1533-position model. Lineage: Bacteria; Pseudomonadati; Bacteroidota; Bacteroidia; Bacteroidales. The record is from RNAcentral.